RNAcentral lists this ribosomal RNA (253 nucleotides) under uncultured bacterium. Its description in RNAcentral is "partial 16S ribosomal RNA". It matches the Rfam family "Bacterial small subunit ribosomal RNA", at positions 524 to 776 of the family's 1533-position model. The record is from RNAcentral.
UACGGGGGGGGCAAGCGUUGUUCGGAAUUACUGGGCGUAAAGCGUGCGUAGGUGGUUUGUUAAGUCUGCUGUGAAAGCCCUGGGCUCAACCUGGGAAUGGCGGUGGAUACUGACAAGCUAGAGUGCGGUAGAGGAGGGUGGAAUUCCCGGUGUAGCGGUGAAAUGCGUAGAGAUCGGGAGGAACAUCAGUGGCGAAGGCGGCCCUCUGGACCAGCACUGACGCUGAGGCACGAAAGCGUGGGGAGCAAACAGG